RNAcentral lists this long non-coding RNA (1332 nucleotides) under Helianthus annuus (common sunflower). RNAcentral's name for it is "hypothetical non coding rna". Lineage: Eukaryota; Viridiplantae; Streptophyta; Magnoliopsida; Asterales; Asteraceae. The record is from RNAcentral.
GGGUGGGUCAGCCAGACCUACCAGAUUUACCGGUUUGGUUGUUCGUUUUGACAGUUUAAACCCUUUUAACAUUUUUAUUAAAACUUUUGGUUUAAACCCAGCCAAAGCGUUUGGUUCUCAAACUGGCCGACUUGCUUCAGUUUUGUCAGGUUGGAUCAGUUUGUUUUACUUUUAAAAACUGUUGUCCACUUUGUUUACAAUCGCUUAUGACCAUUCGAUUCUGACUAGUUUAUUUCAAUUGCAAUUUUACGUAACAAACAGCUACAGAAUCGCAAUUACAUCAAAAGUCAAAACCCUAGCUAAACACAUACAGAAAGAAAUGGAAAAACAAAAAAAACAAUAAUCACAUCAAACCCUAACCAACAAAUUAUCCCUUCAAUCCCAGAUAAACUCUUUCCCGAUAUAACAGAGCCCUUCAAAGAUUCGAUAUAGACCAAACACUAGCAAACAAACAUCACAAAACUCAAAUUAAAACGCUAUGUAGGAUCGUUUUCUGACCCGAAUGAGUCGAUCAGAAGAGUUUUUGCUCAAUACGAAAGGCGGAAACAGUCUAGCACUGUAAGAGCUGAGAAGAUCAAUUUUAUGGCGUACCUGAAAGGGAACAAGGCUGAUAGAGGAGGAAGAAAGAACAAGGGCUUUGUUAUAGUAGUGAUUUUAUUAUUUGCGAGUGUGUCACUAUUUUGAGUCUUUUUCUUCAGUAAUUUAGGGGUGAUUUUAAUAUUGCUGUUUGUUUUUUUUUUUUCAGAGGUAAAACGUCUGCAGUCUGCAGUCUGCGGACCACAUAACGUCUGCAGCUGAAGAGGUGUUUUUUAACUUCUGCAAACUUUAAUCAUACUACAUACACCAAACUUUAAUCAAACGAUCCAUCUAGUUUAAUCAACCUACAUACACCAAACUUUAAUCAUACUACAUACACCAAACUUUAAUCAAACAAUUCAUCUAGUUGAACAUCUAUUUUCCAUAAAAAUUAUAAACUAACACUUAACAAAAGAAUUUUUGACAAACGAUUACAUGAAAAUUAUAAAAGAACAAACAAUUAAACUAAAAACAAACAAUAAAAAAAAACAAUUUUUUGACAAAAAAUAUAAAAGAACUUACCUGUGAAGAUCGACUGGAGGUGGAGGUCGCCGGAGGUGGAGGUGCGGCGGGAGGUGGAGGUCGACUGGAGGUGGGGGUGGAGCAGGUGACGGCUGGAGAACCAAGCUAGGGUUUGGAGUUUUUGUUUUAGAGGUCGAUUGGGGAAGAAGAUGCUGAUCGGCUAUGGAGGUGGUCGAUUGGGGAAGAAGAUGCAGGUCUGCAUGGAGAAUGUUUGGAAGAGGUGAGAAGAGGUGA